Molecule: long non-coding RNA, 500 nt
Organism: Populus euphratica (Euphrates poplar)
Lineage: Eukaryota; Viridiplantae; Streptophyta; Magnoliopsida; Malpighiales; Salicaceae
Exons: 2
Source: RefSeq, a predicted model, not a curated record
AUCAGUAUCUGUAUUAAAAGUAUUGGCUAUAAAUAAAGAGGGCAUAGGAGAGGCAAUGGCCAUGUAAAACACAAUAUUUUUCAGUAUGAAAGCCUUAGUGAUAGCUAUUCUUAUAGCCACCAUUGCCUUCUCUCCUUCAUCCAUGGCAGCUCGAGAAUCGGUCGACUAUGGAAAAGAUAGCGUUACCGUCAAUAUCCCAUCAACUGGCGAUGUAUCAUCUAGAAGCCAGGCUCUUUACUACGCUCCACGAAGUGGCAGUGGAUGUAGCAUUUACCAACGAGAUUGUCCUCCCAAGAAGAAAAAACGUUGUAAACCUUACAAGCGUGAAUGCCAUCGCCCUUGAAAAUGAAAGAGUAGUUUGAUUUGGGUCCAUUAUCUAGUGGUAAAAGCUGUGAGCUCAAAGCACAGGGCUAUCUAUAAUUACUUUCAUUUCCAUUACCAAUGUAAUUAUAUCAUUAUUGGAAAUUAAAUAAAAGUUCCAAGAAAAUUUUAAAGUAUAA